This 1281-nucleotide small RNA is filed under the name Cryptococcus neoformans H99. Its description in RNAcentral is "Cryptococcus neoformans var. grubii H99 hypothetical RNA". The record is from RNAcentral. Lineage: Eukaryota; Fungi; Basidiomycota; Tremellomycetes; Tremellales; Cryptococcaceae.
CCUGCACCCAAGAUCUUACCCAUUUCUGUUCCAGGUCCGCAUUCAACCUUAAAAAGGUCGCCCGACCUGGGCCAUUUCUGAUGAUCACCAUCUCCGCCUCGGUACGAAGUUGCCGAGACAAUGUACAUGGUAGGAACUCACCUCCGAAACAAGGGAUAGUGGGGCUUUUGCAUCCUUUCAGCCUGACCAUUGCGAUAAGUUUUCCCUCAGGGUUGAAGCCAACUACCCUCUCGUCCCUCCAUCUAGCCACCCACACGUUCCCCACACCGUCAACACAAAGCCCAUCGUAAGCGCCUUGAGUGGGGUUCUCAGCAUCAAGUGCGGGUGGAGGAAGAACAAAUGUGCGCUUGUUAGACCAGUAAGGAGGGGUCGUCGAAUAAGUAUAAGCCGACACAAGAUCGUAGCGGGAAUCAAUAUAGUCUAAUAGCUCGUAAGUUAGGUUGUAACAGUAGAUUGUCAGGACGAUUGAAUACGGACAGACGGUUCGACCGUCAGGAGACCACCCCAGGCCGUUUGACACACCGACAUUGUUCAUGGUCUCCACUGCUUUUCCUUUAUCCCACCUAGUCAUUCUGUUAGCUAGCGGAUUUAAAGGAACAUCAUAAUUUACAUACACGAAUAGCUUCCCCGGCAUUUCAGGCUUGUUUUCAUCGAUGCCCAUGCUUCCAAACCACACCCUCCCGUCAGGGUCUACCCCUCCAUCAUUAAACCUUAUGACGCCAUCUUUGACAAGUUUAGCAUCCAGAGUCUCAUCAAGGACAGCGUCAUAUUCCCUCUUGACAGGAGUAGGGCUUGUGGUGGUAGGCUUUGUUGCAGGCGGGAGCACCACAAGAGAUGAAGCGUUGGUCGCGAUGAAACCAGGCGCAUUAGCACGAGGAGUGAUGUAUGAAAGGCAGGGGGACUGCGGGUAAACAUCAAUCGAGCGAUUUCCUGUAGCGGGGUCUAAUCUAAAAGACACUGUACCUACGUAUGGAGUUCUGAACGGAAGAUGUCUACCCAGUGGAGAAGUUGAGUCCUCGAAUCCCACACGACUCCUUUCAGGCCAGGUAAGCAACUCUAUCAUUAGGAUAAUGCAGGGAACGCCACACCUUCGCCCAGGUUAUUCUGAGCUUCGAGUACAAGUUCGGCUUCGACGACGGGAUGAUUAUGGGUGGUCAUCUUGGAUUGGAUUGGAUUAGUGGCUAUCUCUGCGUUGCGAAUGGAAGGAAUGUACCAUGGAAGACGGUAUUAAUAGAAGGCCGUUUAUCGGGUGAAGUAACUCUUGGCCGUGCUGCUUCGUCC